AGUGGAAUUGCUGGGCAUAUGGUAGCUCUGUAUUUAACUUUCUAAUGAACUUCCAAAACUAUUUUCUAAAAUCUCUCCACCACUUUACAUUCCCAAUAGCAGU
RNAcentral lists this microRNA precursor (103 nucleotides) under Marmota monax (woodchuck). Lineage: Eukaryota; Metazoa; Chordata; Mammalia; Rodentia; Sciuridae. The record is from RNAcentral.